Molecule: ribosomal RNA, 680 nt
Filed under: uncultured Gammaproteobacteria bacterium
Lineage: Bacteria; Pseudomonadati; Pseudomonadota; Gammaproteobacteria
Description: bacterial SSU rRNA
Rfam family: Bacterial small subunit ribosomal RNA
Source: RNAcentral
UGCCGCGUGUGUGAAGAAGGCCCGAGGGUUGUAAAGCACUUUUAGUAAGGAGGAAAGGUUAGUCGCUAAUAUCGGCUAGCUGUGACGUUACUUACAGAAAAAGCACCGGCUAACUCUGUGCCAGCAGCCGCGGUAAUACAGAGGGUGCAAGCGUUAUUCGGAAUUACUGGGCGUAAAGCGCGCGUAGGCGGAUUGUUAAGCCAGUUGUGAAAGCCCUGGGCUCAACCUAGGAACGGCGAUUGAAACUGGCAGUCUAGAGUUUAGUAGAGGGAAGGGGAAUUUCUGGAGUAGCAGUGAAAUGCGUAGAUAUCAGAAGGAACAUCAGUGGCGAAGGCGCCUUCCUGGACUAAAACUGACGCUGAGGUGCGAAAGCGUGGGGAGCAAACGGGAUUAGAUACCCCGGUAGUCCACGCCCUAAACGAUGUCAACUAGCUGUUGGUCUUAUUAAAAAGAUUAGUAGCGCAGCUAACGCGAUAAGUUGACCGCCUGGGGAGUACGGUCGCAAGAUUAAAACUCAAAGGAAUUGACGGGGGCCCGCACAAGCGGUGGAGCAUGUGGUUUAAUUCGAUGCAACGCGAAGAACCUUACCAUCCCUUGACAUCCUGCGAACUUUCUAGAGAUAGAUUGGUGCCUUCGGGAGCGCAGUGACAGGUGCUGCAUGGCUGUCGUCAGCUCGUGUC